Molecule: ribosomal RNA, 558 nt
Filed under: Pezicula corticola
Lineage: Eukaryota; Fungi; Ascomycota; Leotiomycetes; Helotiales; Dermateaceae
Description: SSU rRNA
Rfam family: Bacterial small subunit ribosomal RNA (bases 119-558)
Source: RNAcentral
UUUGGGAGAAUGUAUAGCUUUGGCUAAUUAUAUUUGUUUUAAUUGAUGAAAGAUAAAUUAAAUAUUAAAAUGUUGAUUAAUUUAUUAAUUAAUAUUGCUCAUGUUUUAACGAGUUUGUCGUAUAAAGUUCUAGAUAGAAUACUGAUUAUGACAAUUUACUAUCUAUGUGUCUUGACCAAAUUACGUGCCAGCAGUCGCGGUAAUACGUAGAAGACUAGUGUUAUUCAUCUUUAUUAGGUUUAAAGGGUACCUAGACGGUUUAAUUAGUCCAAAAUAGGAUACGUUUUUACUAGAGUUAUAUAUGAGGAGGUGAGUAUUUGUGGAGUAGAGUUGAAAUUCUUUGAUACCACGAGGACUGGUAACGGCGAAAGCAACCUCUUAUCUAAUAACUGACGUUGAGGGACGAAGGCUCGGGUAGCGAACAGGAUUAGAUACCCUAGUAGUCCAAGCAGAAAAUUAUGAAUGUCAUAGAUUAGAUAUUUUUUAGUUUAUAAAUGAAAGUGUAAGCAUUCCACCUCAAGAGUAAUGUGGCAACGCAGGAACUGAAAUCAUUAGACC